AGAGCUGAAGCAGAGACCCCAAUCCCAAUGGCAACCAGCGUCAUCGAGAAAUCCGGAAUCAAGAUCAUUAAAAGCCCUCCUGAAUCUAGGCUCUCUGACCUCGGCGUCAGAACUUGGCCCAAGUAAGCGUACCCCACUUACCAUAUACGCAUCCCCUUUUUUGGAGUCUUUUCUACUCCCUAGUAAUUUUUAAUUUUUCUUCCCCCACCUUCUCUUAGCAGGAAAUGAAUCCCUUUGUUUUUUUAAUUUCAAUAAUUGAAUGGUCUUCCGUCUCGUCUGGCUUUCGUGUAUAAAAUGACGACAUGGACAAAUUUUCAGAUCUUCUCGUUAUCGCUCGUCAUUACUACUGUAGUAUUCUUAAGCAAUUCUGGGCCUUUUUAUUUCAACAUGAAAUGAAUUGCUAUAUCAGCUUUCUGACUAUUACUCACUAGUUACUAAUAUUUGGGAAUUUCUCUGCCUUUCCCUUGCCAGCUUCUGGCUUGGUGUGAGAGGAGAGGGAAGGAUUUAUAAACCAUGUUUAUGCCUUUUUUUUUUCUUUUAAAGAUUUGAUUACUCUUCUUCUGCCAGGAUUCAAUUUUUCCUUGAAUUUUCCUUUUCUUGAGUGAAACUCACUUGUCGCAUUUUCCAAUUUUCUCAGCAUUGUUACACAAUUUUCUAGUAUGAGCUUCUUUAAACUUCUAUGGGUCAUAUUUUACGCGUUUCUCUCCGGUGUUUUUGUUAACCAACGAGAAGGUAGCUUUUAUUUCUUUAUAUUUUCACUAUGAAAUCCUUUAAGAGUUGGGAUUGACACCCUUGUUUUUCUGAAGAACAAUUACUGUAUUGUUUGGAUAAUAUUACCGUAUUCAGUCUCCCUUUAAAUUUCCUGACUUUUUUUCUAUCUGCCAUGACUGUUUGCAGAGAACUAUAGUCAUUGCAUGUCCCUUCUCUCCUUUGUUUUUUCUGUACUUAACAGUGUGGGGAGGGACUCUUUAUUGGUAGGGCGGGAUUUACUGAGCAAAGCGAGUAUUAAAGAUUGCCAAGGUUUGUUUUUUUACUUCUGGGCUCACAAAGCAACGAGGAGCGUAGGUCUAUCAGGAAACACCUUGGAACUAUUAAUUAUCAAGUGCACGAAACUUCUCAUUGAGUUCCCUUAUGGCACUAUGGGAGUAGGACACCUGGUAUGGGUGAUGGCUUGAAGUUGAACUAUGUAAUUUGUAGACUUUUGCCAUACUUUGAAGAUGAAUGACUAGAACGCUAAUUGUUGAAUGCAAAUUACAACGAUUAAAUGUGAUUGGGUGCAUUUCAUCAUUUAAGGAAAAUGUAACUACAUUUGUUGUGCUUUACUGAAACCUCAUUCAGGUGAUACUUCAUUCGAAAGGGAAAUAAAGAAAAGAGAAAAACGAAUUUUUAACCCAUAUAGUCUUUGUUGUGUAAACCAUGUUUGCAUAUACUGUUCUCUUGAGUCCAGGAAAUUUUGAAUACCUAUUCUUGGCAGUUGUUUGAAAUUUUCCUUGGUUCAGCUUUAAUUAACUGUGCCUAAUCCUAAUCGUUCUGCUUGGUUCAAUCGGUCUCACCGAACUAUUUUGGUUGACACCCCACUUCUGCUUGUUCGAAAUCAAUCGGCCCUAAUAGUUCGGAAGAAAAAGGCUGAGUUUUCUAGUAAAGAGUUGAACAAGGGAGGAAUAGUUCAGUGAGAUCGAUGGAACUACAUCCAAUAAUAAUCCUUUCUUUUGCCAUUCUUUCCUCCCUGUAGCACUUACCGUUGAUCACCAAUGUCCGAGCCUUGCCUGAUCAAUAUAGAAAAGAUUUCCCCAGUAGGGGGGAAGAGAGAGGCCUGUUCACUUAAGACAGGCGGUAGGAUUUUCAUUCAAGAGCUCCGUCUUUGGCUUUAUUAAUGCGUGACCUUCGAAAUCCAUGACCAAUAUCUGAUUACGUAACCCAAACCUAUGAGUCAAUACAUAUAAUUGCUGAGAAUUUCCCGUGGAAUAGCUCAAUUACCUAAAUACCUGUAACUGUAAUAUAUAUAUAUAUAUAUAUAUAUAUAUAUAUAGAACAGACACACUCUUAGAGCUACUUUCCUACCAUGAUGACCAUAUCCCAUAUCCACUCUCUUCGAUGAUACACGCUCUUGAUUCUUCAGUUUUUACAAUGUAACAAGGGGCUGUGUGCUUGAAUAAGAGAAUGGUAUGUUCCUGAUAAGUUCUGAUUGAUAGUUUCAGAGUGGGUGAUACAUUGUAUGAAUUAAGUUGAAAUUGUGCAAUACACACACCCGCCAAUUCACUCCCACUGGUUCUUUUCUUAGCAUCCUUGUGCUGUUCCAUCCAUAUAACUGAAUUAUCAAGCUUAAGAAUAAGCUAAAUUAAGUUGCAAUAACAUUUGUGGUACUGAUAUGUUUUCUUAGGUGGGAAGUCUUGCUUCCUUUGUAGCCACGCAAAAAUUUUAGUCUCCAAGUAUUCAUGAAACCAAGUGAUUUUGAAUUUCAAUUCAACAUUUAUCUUAGUCUUUUUGCUUUUGCUUGUUGAGCAAUAGCACAUGUUUCCUGUGUACGAUAUGGCUACAGACACAAUGGUCUACCUUGUUAAUAGCUCUAUUGUUCCGUAGGUGGGGGUGUCCUCCUAGCAAAUUCCCAUGGACAUCUCAAGGAAACGUGCUACCUACUGAAGGGAAAGGUUAAAGUCUAUCCUGACGGAUCUGAGGAAGUUGUGGAAAUUGGUGCUGGUGACUUGGUUGAAUUCCCAAAGGGUAUGAGCUGCACUUGGGAUGUCUCAGAGGCUGUGGACAAGCAUUACAACUUCGAUUAACUGCAGUCUCGGUGCAUGGCUCUGCAAGUUUUACCAGCCUAUGAUUACUAGCAAAAUGGAUAUUGAACAGUGAUUAUUACUUGUCUACGUUGUCAAGCGUGCUUCUGCAGUUGUGAUGCUUCUAAAAUGUUGAAAUUACAUGAAAUCUCUAAUCCCAGAAGAGCAAAAAUUGCAACUGGAUACCGUGUAACUAGUUUGUCGAAUGUAGUGUUUGGACGCUGGUUUUGUAUCAAGGAAGGCAGACUGGCGGAUAAAAGAAGAUAUCUAGAAUUUUUAUAGUUACCGCAUAUGAUGCCUUGAGAAUGUUAGAAUGCUGUCGCGAACUGAGGACAUGUAUCUGGACUUCCAAAUUGAGGAUAGAUUCUACUUACUGUGCAUCAUAGGUGAGAAUGUGGUGUGUUUGGAUGGGAAAUAAUAUUGUUUAAAAUAAUUAUUAUAGCACUUUUCGUGAUAAUAAUGUAUGUAUGAUAAAAAAAUAAUUGACAAAAUAAAAAGAUGUAUUGAAAAUUAUAUUUGUGAUGCAACAAAUAAUUUCUAUUGAAAGAUUUUUUUUUUUUCUUGUUAAGCUCAGAAUUUUAUCGAAUCAAAAUAUAGAUUAUUUUGUCCAUACAAGCGAUUAACUUGAAGUACAACUCAUGCUUUGCAACCAUGUAAGAUAUACACGAAUAAUGUAGUACACCAAGCUAAAUGAAAAUAGAUUAGUCAAAAUGCCAAGCAAUGCUCGGUUUCUAAUUUUCCCUGCACUUUCGAACACCAUGUUUCCUAGCCAGUGCUGCGUGAACAUCAAACUUAAUCUGCUACAAUAUUUGCUCUGGCAUUCAAGUUUGAUGCUUAAAGAUUCUCAUAUUCGGUGCCUGCCAAACAAAAUAGAUUGUUGCUACAAAGGCCAAUCUCUACACAUAGUUUACAAAAUUAUCCUGAACCAUAUGCGCACACAGCCAAGACAGUUUCACACUCCGGGACGAGCUCCUCUAUACAUACUACGCAGAUGCACGACUUCCUUCCAUAUAGGAAAGGCAAAAGGGCAACUUAAAAUAAUUGGUCAACAGUUUCAACAUCAUUCCCGCAUAACACGCGUACAUCAUCAUUCACGACUCCACAAGCUUCCUACAUUGAUUUAGCGUCGAGUCUUUUUUUUUUGUCGAUACAGGGGUGUUCGGGUCAAUCCUUACGGGUCCCGACUAAUCCCCUGUGACCCGGACUCGGCGCCCCAACUCGGCCUCGAACACGUUAAGUGCGCGGAAAAAUCCAGCGGAGCGGAGACUCGAACUUGUUGAUCUCAAGAUUCACUGUGUGAGAGGCGCUUCCGCUGACCAUUCAUGCGGUGGCGUGUUGAAUCUUCCUCUACACACUAACCAUGUGAUAAAAACAGUCUCGAUAUAUGUCCCUUAAACCAAUGUUUUGAAAAUCGGACGGGACCGGCUGGUUGAAUCGUGAACCAGCCAUGAAACCGGUGUGAUUCUAUACUAUAGUUGUAUAUUGUCAAAUAACCGGUCAAGACAGGUUAAAUCCAUCAAACUAGUAAAUCCAGUUGAGCCGGUGAUUUUCGAUUUUUUAAUUUUCCCCUCAAUAUUUUUUUUAAAAUUUUGCAAAAUGCAACUAGCAAGUUUCAAACUCAAGACCUUUGUUAUAGAGACCAACAUAGUAACCACUACACCAUCACAUCCAAUUAAUCUCUUUUUAUACCAUAUUUAUAUGAAACAAAUAUCCAUCUUUCUUUUCUCCGUUUUUCCUAAAAAAUCUCAUCAUCUCAUGAUUUUUUUUCGAAUCUUCAACUCUCUCUCUUCUCUUUUCUUUUAUCAUCCCUUUUAAUCAAAUCUCUUUAGUUUUAAUUUAUUGAUUUUUUUCAUCUUUUAAUUUUUUUGUUUAUUAAAUUGAAAAAAUUUUAAAAAAUAAUUAUUUUUUAACCCUAAAGACUAAUUAUUAAAUGCUACAACCACACACUUGCAUCUCAUUUUUUGUUUCUUAUCAAGUUUUCAUCUCUAUUUUCGAUUUUCUUAACUUCCUCCAAACUCUAAAUUUCUUUUUUUUUUUAAAUUUCAAUAUCUAAAUCCCAAAAACGUGAAUUAAAAUUUAAACUCGCAAUAUCUAAUUCUCAUAUAUGUGAAUUUUGUAUAAUUUCAAAAUAUUGUGAUAUUUUUGGAUUGGAUUUAAGAUUUGUUUUUUGUAGAUAUAAUUGAGAUUGAGAUAAAAUGUAUUUGUUUUAACUUAUAGCUUAAAAAUUUUAUUUUGAAAAAUCCAAGUUCUUUGAAAAUAUUAAACUUUUCAUCAUAUAAAGUUUUAAAUUAGUCCAUUGCAUUGUGCAUAUAUAUAUUUAUAUAAAUUAUUUUUAAAAAAAUUCAUUGCACCAAGGUUGAACCGAUCCAAUUGGUUGAACCUUGACCCCGACACCUCACCAAUUCAAUUAACAAUAAGAGUUUUAAAACAUUGCCUUAAACCACACAAGUUUGUUCCGACAAGCUGCUUGAAAAACAUCUUAGAGAGUUUCAUUGGCCGAUUUGAUGCUAAACAAACCACAUGAAGAUGGUAAACAAGUCAGGAACAUCUGUAGACAUAAGGUGACUUUUUGGUUGAUCCAGGUAUAUAGCGUAUUAAUGUUUUAUCUCUCUAAAUGAGAGCUUUCUCUCUCUAGUGGAGAUUUUCCCUCCGCUUUGGAGGAGUUCCAAAAAAUUUCGAACACUCAAAAUUUCAAAACAAGAUUUCAGAACCCUUUUGCAAACCCUCAAUCAAAGAAUACCUGAGCGAUCCAAAACACUCAACAUCCAAGACCAUACAACAGACUUUCAUAUCCUCUAGUUUCAAUGCAAAUUUAGUAAUGUAAGGCUUUUAUUAUAGUAGAAUGGAUGCAAGCAUUAACUUUGUCCCCCAUUAAAGAGCAUAGCUAAGCCUUGAGCUUGUUGGUUGUGGGGUCAAGAAAGCACUACAACCUUGAUUUCCUUUUAUAUUGAUUUUUUUUUUUGUCGACAAUAGUAGAUGUCCUAUAACCUAAUCUAACCUAAUCUAGGGGUAGGGGGUAAGGGGAGAUGGUCAACUAAGACCAACCAUAAAUUGUGGCAAAUUUGAGGGAAGCAGGAGUAGAACCCUGACCUCCAGCAUCACCAAAGAGGGUGAUGACCACUGGACCAAAUGGCCAGUGGCUCCUUUUAUAUUGAUUAUCUUACCGUUUUUGUGCAGUUUUAUUUUACUCUUUCAUACUGUGGCUUUCUGUUCAACUGUAGUUUUUCCAUUAACUCACUUUAAUUGCUCUAUUUCUAAUCUACCCAGGAAGUAGAAAGAUCUGGUCUUGGAAGCUUCAAUUGAUACAGGACAUGUUCUAUAAGCACGAAGAUAUGGCAAAGAUCCUUACAAAAGCAUUCCAAAGGUUUGACCUGAGCAACAAAGAACUGGAAAGAAUAGAUCUGGAUGCAGAGAAUGUGCAGAUAGGAGUAGAAGAAUGCAAGCUGAGCUUAAAAGGAAGAAUCAUGGGAGAGGAAAUUGCUAAUUUCACAGGAGUUAAAAACUACACUCAACAAGUUUAACUUCGAAGAGGAGAAAGCCAAAGAGAAAGCUUUAAAUGGAAGACCAUGGAUCAUGAUAACCAACGGCAGGUUAUACAGCAAUGAACAUUAGGUAUAGAGAAGAGCACGGAAGCCUUUCAUGUAUGUUACAUUUGGAUACAAGUGUGGAUCCUCUUAAUCCACUAGCUAAGCAAAGUGGUAGGGUUCAAGAUUGGACAAAUGUUUUCGACAGUUAAAGAGGUUAUUAUCCCACUAGGAGGAGAAAAGAAGAGACAUAUGAAACUGUUAGCAAAAAAUGACAUAUCACAGCCUUUGGCGAGAGGAACUACUAUCAAAUUCAAUGGGAAGCCAAUAUGGAUAGAGUUUAGAUAUGGGAAAUGCCCUGAUUUUGCCAUAGAUGUGGAAUAAUAGCUUACUUUCAUGCAUAUGUGAAGGCAAAAAGGAAAAGAAAUAGGAUAACCAGUCUGCAAAAGGAAGAUGGAGAAUAGUGUACAAAUGGCCAAGAGAUCGUCUAGGAGAUUUGUAGAUACUAUGAACAAGGUAAGUUGCUGGUAUGAUUGCGAGAAGGAUGAGGGGGAGUAGAAAGCAUGUUGGAAGGCUGAGGAGAAGGGAGAGAGGUACAGCAAUUAGUGUGUUGUUUGUGGGAACUCAUUCCAAGUCCUCAUUUAUGUAAAGUAGAUGCUGUUAUUUGAAUCCUUUAAAGAGGAAGUGAAAGCAUCUUCAUUUUACUUAGGAGUCUGGUGCUUGUUUUUUCAGCAUUUUUCAAAUCGGUAUCCAAAACUAUAUAAUCAAAUUUGUUUUUUCACUAAUAGUCACAGGAUUUUAUAAAGGUAGUCAUAAAAACAAGAACCAGGCAUAGAGCUAUUAGGCUUAUUUGCUGCUGUACUCUUAUAUAGGAUGUUAACCUAGAAGUGCAGAUGUAAGCAUAUUCAGUAUAGUUUUAUGGGGAGGGGUAAUCCGAAAUCUUAUGAAAACAAGUGAUUGACGUUGAUAAAAUUUCUCUAUCCAACAUCAGCCUCAAAUCUUUCAUUUGCAUAUUAGAAGAUGAAUAACGCAUGAUCUUGAGGACAAUGUUCCACAGACAUACAAUAGUGGCUGUCACCCUAGUUCAGUUUCAUAUUGCUCAAGCAUUUCAAGUUCUUUGGUUUGAAUAUCUUAAGAUUAUAGAGAAUCCUUAGGAGCUAUGGGAAAGUUGCAUGCAGAAUCCUUAGGUGUCAUGCAGAAUUGGCAUGCAUAAUUUCUUUUAUAUUUUUAAUGAAAUGAUUUGACACAAUAUUGAUUUUUUCAAUGUUGAAUAUUCAGAUUGGUGGAGUGAAAAGCGUAACAUUAGGUGAUGAAGAAGCCCGAGUAAGAAAUAGCAAAAAAAUCAUCUUUGAGAGAGUGGCUUCUCCCACAUUUCCUUUUUUGGUUGAGGUUAGGGAGCGGGACUAUUGGGCCAUACAUCGGGUUAGUUGUUUAUUUUUUGGUAAUCAUUGAAAUCCUGAAUUAAGAUCUAUUUCACACCUUGUGUCUUCCAUGUUGAUAAAUUUUAUUUUUGUUAUUUUUUUUUUACUAUAUUUUUCUCGCCUAUUUCUUUGACCUAUAUUUUUCUCUCCUAUUUCUUUGGUGGGGUAUGGCAAAGGGUUGUUUGCAUCUGUGCUUUAGGAUUGUUAGUGACAAGAAAAGUCUAGUUUAUUUCUCAUGCAAUUGUAUCCUUCAUGAUGGAAUGCUCUAUAGUACGGUCUUUAAUUGGAAAGUCCACCUGGGGAAUGCCUACUAAAGACAGAGCUAAGAAGUUUAUAAUGACACUAACAACGGCCUUCCCUUGAAUUUUGCACAAAUUCAAGCUGUUUUUGUUACUUAAAUAUUCUUUUUUUCUAUUUUCAAUGUUCACUUGUGCAACCUCUGGUGCUAUGUAAUUUUGCUCUGCAUUGUGUGGAAGGAGGUCUUAGUAUUCUUUUUUUUUUUUUUUUUUUGGGGGCAUUGUUUGUAAGGCGGCCAUUGGUUCAAUACAUGCAAGUAAUAUUUUUCUCUGGUACGGAUAAAUCUAGUCAUUCAUAUAUUGUGGGAAAAAGGAUUCUUGUGCACUGAGUUUGUGUUAGCGUAAAACUUUGCUGUUUCUGUUUCUUUCAUGAUCUCUAUUAAAACUUCUUAUCUUCCAUACAUAGAACAAAAUAACCAGCUGGGUUUGCUCUAUAACAUUUACUUAAGACCCCAAUUUAGGCAUUGUUGGCUUCUUGUUUGGCCGUGUAUGCGAUGAAUUAGAGGAUAGGUGCCUGAUCAUCUAAGGUUUGACUGCCUGUAGUCCAGCAGUGCAGUUAAGUUAUUUAAGAUCAAGCUGGAGGUCCAGCAGUACUAUGGUUAUGGUGGAUGUCUUCAAAUGUCAAACCUAGAGGAUUCUUGUCUAGAUUGAAACAACUUUAUCACUUUGUUUUUCUCUUUGCAAGAUAUUUUAGGUGGAAUAAUUUUUUUCUUUUUCCAAUUUCAUUAUUUAGACAGGAAGGAGUGUGGAUGCUUUGCUUCGUGGGAGGAAAUCGUUUGUUGAGGUAAGCAAUGUAUUUUAUCCGUGUUCCAUGAUAUUUCUGGGUUAUGCUUUAAAAGGGUAGUUAAAUCUGCUGUAACAUGGGCAUAUAUAUGGUACAGAAUAAAGGCUGUAAAUAUAGCAAUUAAUUGAGUGAAGAAAAAACUAUGGAUGUAUAUUUGAAAACCUAAUAUCUCUUGGCAAGAGUUCUUUCUCAUUGCUGAUUAGGAUAUGGUCAACAUGUGCUUUUAAACUCCUCUAAAAUGUGAAAGUAGCCAGGUUCUUUAAUAGGUUUCUACCCCAUACACAUUAUAGAUAUUUGGUGAAGUAUCUUGCAUCCUUGAUUGAUGGUCGAUUUAGUUGUUAAAGGAAGGUCCGGAUGAAGUGGAAAAGUUCCAACUUUCUAAAACUAUAACGGGAUUAAGAAGUUAACUCAAAUUGUGGUAAUAGCUUCAACAUGCUUAACUAGAAAUGAUGAGAACUCGAAUGAUUCUGCAAAAUGGAAAAACACAAAUUCCUGGUAGAACUCCUAAAACACGGUUACCUUUAGAAAUGUAUAAUGUACAGAACGGCUCUAUUCUAUUUAACAUGCAUUGCUUUUACAGAUUAGGAAAAGAGAUAAAGACAUGAAAAUCAUGAUUGAAAGAUGGAAGAUGGAAGCCUGAAUUGUCACUUUGGGAACUGGUAAUAUCAGUUUGAUCCUGUCAGCAGCUUGCACAGAGCUUCUUGAAUGUGAGAUUCUAACAUAGUUCUUGACGAAUGGAGGCUUUUACUGGUUUUUUGUUGCAUAUGAAGGAUGAUUGAUGUUGUAAAGCUUUGCAUAAGGUAGGUGGUGAGAUUUUUAAUGAUCCUAGAAUCCCGUCAAGAAGCUUAUUGGGUGACUUGGGAUCUCUAACCAACUCCGACUUUUAUCUUUCAAAUCCAUUGCAUGAGAUCUUACCAGAGAUCCUAGAAAAUUCAAUGAGAUCAGUAACUUUCAUAUCGAGAUGGUGAUUAAAAGAGGGCCACCUCUUGGGGGGUUCUAAUUUCUAAAGGUCAGGAUUCCAAUUCUUCGCUGCCAGUAACCACCCUCCACUUGAGGACUACAGCUCAAGCAGGUCCCUCCCCCGCAAAAUACUUCGCCAACCCCACGUGGCAUUGGUAUUACAAUUGACAGUGAGGAAGUUCUUGUUCAUAUAAAUGUUUUGAAAUGAAAAAACUCACUCUGACAAAGAUUGCCUUAGCUAAGAAUGCCCGCCCUAUUCAUUUUCUCAGUAGAUCUAAUACCUCGUCUCCAUUGUUAUUUAGACCUGGGUAGAAUAGACAAGGGUUUCCAAUUGAUACCCUAGCCUUCUACAAAUAAAUCUGGCAAAUGUCGAUCCACGCUUUAAGCAGCACUCCGAGGGAUAUGAAACAUUGCAAGCGCAAACGAUCUCCGCUUUCCAAUGAGCUUUGCGCGAACUAUUCACUAAGGCCUUGUUUAGAAGGUCAUUUUGCACCAAAAUUUUUAUGAUUUUCGUGAACAUAUUUUUUAAUUUUUUUUUUACUUCAUAUAUAUCAAAUUGUUAUAGUACAAAAAUUUUAGAAAAUUGCAAUCCAUACAGGACAUAAAUUUGACUUUAUAAAAUUUACCUUUUGACCAGACAAAAAAAAAAUGAGAAAAUUUUUUGCUAACACCAAUUUCUGAGUGUAAUGCGAAUAAUGAAUGUAAAGUGUAUGAGUGGAUAAUGAUAGGCGUUUGUUGGGGAAAAAAAAAAAAAAGGACAAUGAUAGGCACUGUAAUGAAUUUAGUGUAUAUGAAACUAUGAAUUCAAGACAAAAAAAAUACUAUGAAUUAGCUAUGAAUUUUUAGCUAUAAUGCCCUUGUUAUUUUCAUAGCUUAUUAGUAUCAAAAUAAGAAAAUUGCACAAAAUAUUCCUCGCUUUUUGCAAAAAAAAAAAAGAAAAAAAUUUACCCUCCUCGUAAUUAGAUUGUUGAUCUCAUGUCAUUCGUGAAAGCAAGUCAUGGUCCAAGACCUCCAAUUUUUGGCAACUUUUUGACCCACCGCACAGGUUCAAUUGUACAGGAGCAAAAAAUGCCAGAUUAAGGGGACGAAAUAAAAACUUAAAGAAACAAACUACUAUAAAAAAAAAAAAAAAAAUCAUAUAAACUUGCACGUCACUGCCUCGGUUCUCAUAGGAAGUAUUUCUUUAAUUAUUCACCUAAACAAUUAACAUGCAAUUAAUGAUGCAACAACCAAAUCUUGAUCCGUGAUUUACUUCCUAAAAGCUAGUAGUAUUAAACUAGCCCACUGGCCUCUGCUUUGUUAUUACAGCUUUCAUGAGAAGUCACUCCUAAAUACAGAGAAUGAUUUCCACUCCCAAAUUUUAGCAAAAUAUGGAUUCCAAAAUGUUUGAAUAGAGAAAAAAAUUACAUUUAACAAAAAUGUCAUUGAUUUCAAUUAUACUAUUACACCGUAAACAGAAUUAAAUAUCUUAGUAUUCAAGUUUGUUUGAUCAUUGUAUCGUAUUUGAAAUUGUGUUCAAGUUUGAUUUGUUUAUAUACCAAGUUGAGUUUGAAAAUAUUAAUUUUUAUCAAGUCAAACUCUAAUAGCUUGAAUAUUUUGGUUGCAAAGUUCCAAUGUUUAUGAAAUCUAACUCUAAUAAUUUGAAUAUUUUACAUACAAAGUUCCAAUGUUAAUCAAGCUAAGUUUUGAGUAAGAAGAGAUUGAUUGAUUGGUACGUCAAAUCCCAAUUUUAUUUCAUGUGUAGUUAGAGAUUCAACUUUCUAAAGAACAUUGUUUUGAAAAUCGGAUUGGAUCGGCGGUUCAAUCGAUCGAACUGCGAACUGAACAAAACUUUGAUCCGGUUCAUAUCUCGGGUUGACUGGAGUUAAAAAUUAGUAAGAACCGGAUUGAACCGUUGAAUUGGCGGUUUUUUCGUUUUUGUAUAUUAAAAUGAAAAAAUAUAUAAAAAAAGAUUAAGUUUUCUUUAACACUAAAGAUUAAUUAUUAAAUGUCACAUCCACUCACUUUCUUCUCAUUUUUUGUCUUUUUAUCAAGUUUGCAUCUCUAUUUUCUAUUUUCCUGAUUUUCUCCAAAUUCCAAACUUCUAUUUUUUUUUUAAAAAAAGUUGUAAUAUCUAAAUCCAAAAAACGUGAAUUAAAAAUUUAAACUCACAAUGUCUAAUUCCCAUGGACGUGAAUUUUGUAUAAUUUUAGAAUAUUGUGGUAUUUUUGGAUUGGAUUUGAAAUUAUUUUUUGGUAGAUACAAUUAAGACUGAGAUGAAAUUUAUUUGUUACAACUUAUAAUUUAAAAUUUAUUUGUAAAAAUUCAAGUUCUUUAAAAAUAUUAAUUUUUAUCAUAUAAAGUUUUAAAUUAGUCCAUUGCAUAUUUUAUUUUGUACAUGUAUUUAUAUAAAUUAUAUUUUAAAAAAUUCAUUGAAUUAGAGUUAAAUCGAUCGAUCCGAACAUCUCGCCGGUUCAAUUAACAUCCUGAGUUUCAAAACAUUGCUAAAGAGGUAGGUCUUGGCGCAUGGCAGCCGGGGAAUUGUUGGCCCGGACUACAAGAUAAGAAGUGAGCGGAUGAGAGCAAACGGUCCAGAGAUUGGCAGACUUAGAGAUAGACAAGUUGACAGAUCAGAGCAGGAAUAGUGGUUAGAUAAUUGAAGCCUUGGAUUAUUGUAUAUAGUGGUUAUUAUUAGUACAUACUGGGGGACAAAGAUAGGCGGGAUUGAAUUGCAAAUUGCAAUUAGAAUGGCAUCGGCAUGGUUGAGUACAAACAUUGCAGCUACCGGUGCAAGUAGCAUAAUGUAUGGGAUGUCUGGAAUGGUAGUAAGAGUAGCCCCCGUUGAUAAGACUAUAAAUGUAAAAAACGUAAACAGUCACAAUCAUUAUAGCUGCUGCAGCACCGCCACCAGUAGUACUAGUACUGCUAGUAUUUAUCCUCCAACGAAGCUCUCGUCGUCUUCGUCGAGGGGCAGAAAGAGGUGCUACGCUAACGGGAGGAGAGCUGAAGCGGUAAUCAGAGCUGAAGCAGAGACCCCAAUCCCAAUGGCAACCAGCGUCAUCGAGAAAUCCGGAAUCAAGAUCAUUAAAAGCCCUCCUGAAUCUAGGCUCUCUGACCUCGGCGUCAGAACUUGGCCC
Molecule: long non-coding RNA, 12878 nt
Filed under: Coffea arabica (coffee)
Lineage: Eukaryota; Viridiplantae; Streptophyta; Magnoliopsida; Gentianales; Rubiaceae
Description: long non-coding RNA (CARA_LNC007289)
Source: RNAcentral